This 497-nucleotide ribosomal RNA is filed under the name uncultured bacterium. RNAcentral describes it as "partial 16S ribosomal RNA". It matches the Rfam family "Bacterial small subunit ribosomal RNA", at positions 899 to 1397 of the family's 1533-position model. The record is from RNAcentral.
ACUCAAAUGAAUAGACGGGGGCCCGCACAAGCGGUGGAGUAUGUGGUUUAAUUCGAAGCAACGCGCAGAACCUUACCUGGCCUUGACAUGGUGGGACGUCGGCAGAGAUGUCGAUCGCCCUUCGGGGACCCACGCACAGGUGCUGCAUGGCUGUCGUCAGCUCGUGUUGUGAAAUGUUCGGUUAAGUCCGGCAACGAGCGCAACCCCUGUCCUUAGUUACCAACAUUAAGUUGGGGACUCUAGGGAGACUGCCGGUGUUAAACCGGAGGAAGGCGGGGAUGACGUCAAGUCCUCAUGGCCCUUACGGCCAGGGCUACACACGUACUACAAUGGUCGAGACAAACCGUUCCGAAACCGCGAGGUGGAGGUAAUCGGUAAAACACGAUCUCAGUCCGGAUUGAAGUCUGCAACUCGACUUCAUGAAGUUGGAAUCGCUAGUAAUCGCAGAUCAGCACGCUGCGGUGAAUACGUUCCCGGGCCUUGUACACACCGCCCGU